Non-coding RNA from Bos taurus (domestic cattle), 73 nucleotides. NCBI's taxonomy places the organism in Eukaryota, Metazoa, Chordata, Mammalia, Artiodactyla, Bovidae. The record is from Rfam.
UGCCUAGUGGUCCAGUGGCUAAGAUUCUGUGCUCCCAAUGUAGGGGGCCCAGGUUCAAUCCCUGGUUAGGGAA